ACUAGACUGGUUCGGUAAUUCGGUUUUCCUGGACUGACUCGGUCAUCAACUAUUUAUCCCUGGAAUGAUUAGGUCAUCAGCUAUUUACCUCUGGACUAAGUCGUCAUCAGCUAUUUACUCUGGUUUACUCGUGGGCAUGGACUGGUUCGGAAAUCAACUCAUUUUGCCUGCACUGACUCUGUAAUUAAUCUAUUGUUUCUCCUGGGAUCGCCUGUUUUUCCCUGGCUCAGUUCUCAACUGUCUCCCCUGGGCUAACUGGACAUUGUUUUCCUUGGAGUGACUAACUGGGUCAUCAUCUGUUUCCACAGACUCAGUGGGGUCACUCCUUACAGGUCAUCUCAUCAUCCACUGUUUACCGUGGAGUGAUUUGUUUGCAGCCCGUUUUCACGCAGCGGAGGGGAUUUCCGUCUUUCCCUCAUCUGAUCCUGUCCCUGAACGGACUCGGUCAUCCACUGUGAGCCCUGGACUGACUCUGUUAUCCACUGCUCUUCCUGGGCGGAGGCUGAUGACGCUUCACCCUACUGGUUCUGGUUCUUAAAAGCGGGCUUCCGGGAACUUAAAACAAGGUGGUUCUAUAUUCACGUGGAUGAAAACACAGAGCGGUACCUGAGUUUCCCCUCAGAGGAGUUAUCCCAGUUUGCAUCCCAACCAAGAACAUACAGAGGUCUCUCCAAAGCCUGUGCGUUGUCCCCAAUCUUAAUUUUUUCCCGGUGUGACAGGGACUUACGGGGACGUAAGACCGUGGGCCUCGACGCAAAGGACAAAGUUAGUGUCUUUAAUCUGCAUUCGGGGAAUUCUCCAUCCCGCACCGGCUGAGUCCAGAGAAACUGGAAAACGGAAAAAGUGUCGAAGUUCUUUCUACAUGUGCUGGCAAAGUUUGGAGGAUUGCUUGGUCUUGUGACAGGAUAUUUAUUAUGGGGUUUGGGGACGGGGGUGGCUUAGGAUGAGGUAAGUGCUUGUUUAUGCAGCAUUUAUCUCAUGCACAGCUUAACUUCAUAAUCGAGACAAAUGUAUUAAUGCAUUUUUAAAAUGAAAAUUGAUGUUAAGACAUCCAUAAAGAAUUAAGCAUCAAAGCUAAAUAAAGACAAGAUGGGUAACA
Molecule: long non-coding RNA, 1099 nt
Filed under: Sus scrofa (pig)
Lineage: Eukaryota; Metazoa; Chordata; Mammalia; Artiodactyla; Suidae
Description: lncRNA (ENSSSCG00050034057.1)
Source: RNAcentral